AGGGACGGGACGCGGUGCAGUGUUGUUCUUUUCCCCGCCAAUAUUGCACUCGUCCCGGCCUCC
This 63-nucleotide microRNA precursor is filed under the name Pteropus alecto (black flying fox). RNAcentral's name for it is "microRNA pal-mir-92b precursor". Its record names the gene pal-mir-92b. The record is from miRBase by way of RNAcentral. Lineage: Eukaryota; Metazoa; Chordata; Mammalia; Chiroptera; Pteropodidae.